AGGACGAACGCUGGCGGCGUGCUUAACACAUGCAAGUCGAGCGGAAAGGCCCUUCGGGGUACUCGAGCGGCGAACGGGUGAGUAACACGUGAGUAAUCUGCCCCUAGCUCUGGGAUAGCUCCGGGAAACCGGGAUUAAUACCGGAUACGACCACUUUAGACAUCUGUUGUGGUGGAAAGAAUUUUGGCUAGGGAUGAGCUCGCGGCCUAUCAGCUUGUUGGUGGGGUAACGGCCUACCAAGGCGACGACGGGUAGCCGGCCUGAGAGGGCGACCGGCCACACUGGGACUGAGACACGGCCCAGACUCCUACGGGAGGCAGCAGUGGGGAAUAUUGCGCAAUGGGCGAAAGCCUGACGCAGCGACGCCGCGUGGGGGAUGAAGGCCUUCGGGUUGUAAACCCUUUCAGCAGGGACGAAGCGAAAGUGACGGUACCUGCAGAAGAAGCGCCAGCUAACUACGUGCCAGCAGUCGC
This 473-nucleotide ribosomal RNA is filed under the name uncultured bacterium. RNAcentral describes it as "SSU rRNA". It matches the Rfam family "Bacterial small subunit ribosomal RNA", at positions 26 to 518 of the family's 1533-position model. The record is from RNAcentral.